This 483-nucleotide ribosomal RNA is filed under the name uncultured Bacteroidota bacterium. RNAcentral's name for it is "bacterial SSU rRNA". It matches the Rfam family "Bacterial small subunit ribosomal RNA", at positions 83 to 564 of the family's 1533-position model. Lineage: Bacteria; Pseudomonadati; Bacteroidota. The record is from RNAcentral.
CAAUGGAUGAGACCGGCGCACGGGUGCGUAACGCGUAUGCAAUCUACCUUUUACAGGGGAAUAGCCCAGAGAAAUUUGGAUUAAUGCCCCAUGGUAUUAUAGAGUGGCAUCAUUUUAUAAUUAAAGUUCCAACGGUAAAAGAUGAGCAUGCGUCCCAUUAGCUAGUUGGUAAGGUAACGGCUUACCAAGACGAUGAUGGGUAGGGGUCCUGAGAGGGAGAUCCCCCACACUGGUACUGAGACACGGACCAGACUCCUACGGGAGGCAGCAGUGAGGAAUAUUGGACAAUGGGCGCAAGCCUGAUCCAUCCAUGCCGCGUGCAGGAAGACGGUCCUAUGGAUUGUAAACUGCUUUUGUACGGGAAGAAACACUCCUUCUUGAAUGAGCUUGACGGUACCGUAAGAAUAAGGAUCGGCUAACUCCGUGCCAGCAGCCGCGGUAAUACGGAGGAUCCAAGCGUUAUCCGGAAUCAUUGGGUUUAAA